GUUAUAUGGUCAAGUGAAGAAGCGCAUACGGUGGAUGCCUUGGCAGUCAGAGGCGAUGAAAGACGUGGUAGCCUGCGAAAAGCUUCGGGGAGUCGGCAAACAGACUGUGAUCCGGAGGUAUCUGAAUGGGGGAACCCAGCCAUCAUAAGAUGGUUAUCUUGUACUGAAUACAUAGGUGCAAGAGGCGAACCAGGGGAACUGAAACAUCUAAGUACCCUGAGGAAAAGAAAUCAACCGAGAUUCCCUUAGUAGUGGCGAGCGAACGGGGACCAGCCCUUAAGUUGUAUUGAGAUUAGCGGAACACUCUGGAAAGGGUGGCCAUAGUGGGUGAUAGCCCUGUACGCGAAAAUCCCUUUGCAAUGAAAUCGAGUAGGACGGGGCACGAGAAACCUUGUCUGAAUAUGGGGGGACCAUCCUCCAAGGCUAAAUACUACUGACUGACCGAUAGUGAACCAGUACCGUGAGGGAAAGGCGAAAAGAACCGCGGAGAGCGGAGUGAAAUAGAUCCUGAAACCGUAUGCGUACAAGCAGUGGGAGCCCACUUUGUUGGGUGACUGCGUACCUUUUGUAUAAUGGGUCAGCGACUUAUUUUCAGUGGCGAGCUUAACCGAAUAGGGGAGGCGUAGCGAAAGCGAGUCUUAAUAGGGCGUCUAGUCGCUGGGAAUAGACCCGAAACCGGGCGAUCUAUCCAUGGGCAGGUUGAAGGUUGGGUAACACUAACUGGAGGACCGAACCGACUACCGUUGAAAAGUUAGCGGAUGACCUGUGGAUCGGAGUGAAAGGCUAAUCAAGCUCGGAGAUAGCUGGUUCUCCUCGAAAGCUAUUUAGGUAGCGCCUCAUGUAUCACUGUAGGGGGUAGAGCACUGUUUCGGCUAGGGGGUCAUCCCGACUUACCAAACCGAUGCAAACUCCGAAUACCUACAAGUGCCGAGCAUGGGAGACACACGGCGGGUGCUAACGUCCGUCGUGAAAAGGGAAACAACCCAGACCGUCAGCUAAGGUCCCAAAGUCAUGGUUAAGUGGGAAACGAUGUGGGAAGGCUUAGACAGCUAGGAGGUUGGCUUAGAAGCAGCCACCCUUUAAAGAAAGCGUAAUAGCUCACUAGUCGAGUCGGCCUGCGCGGAAGAUGUAACGGGGCUCAAACCAUGCACCGAAGCUACGGGUAUCAUCUUUUGAUGAUGCGGUAGAGGAGCGUUCUGUAAGCCUGUGAAGGUGAGUUGAGAAGCUUGCUGGAGGUAUCAGAAGUGCGAAUGCUGACAUGAGUAACGACAAUGGGUGUGAAAAACACCCACGCCGAAAGACCAAGGUUUCCUGCGCAACGUUAAUCGACGCAGGGUUAGUCGGUCCCUAAGGCGAGGCUGAAAAGCGUAGUCGAUGGAAAACAGGUUAAUAUUCCUGUACUUCUGGUUAUUGCGAUGGAGGGACGGAGAAGGCUAGGCCAGCCUGGCGUUGGUUGUCCAGGUUUAAGGUGGUAGGCUGAGAUCUUAGGUAAAUCCGGGAUCUUAAGGCCGAGAGCUGAUGACGAGUGUUCUUUUAGAACACGAAGUGGUUGAUGCCAUGCUUCCAAGAAAAGCUUCUAAGCUUCAGGUAACCAGGAACCGUACCCCAAACCGACACAGGUGGUUGGGUAGAGAAUACCAAGGCGCUUGAGAGAACUCGGGUGAAGGAACUAGGCAAAAUGGCACCGUAACUUCGGGAGAAGGUGCGCCGGUGAGGGUGAAGCAUUUACUGCGUAAGCCCAUGCCGGUCGAAGAUACCAGGCCGCUGCGACUGUUUAUUAAAAACACAGCACUCUGCAAACACGAAAGUGGACGUAUAGGGUGUGACGCCUGCCCGGUGCCGGAAGGUUAAUUGAUGGGGUUAGCGCAAGCGAAGCUCUUGAUCGAAGCCCCGGUAAACGGCGGCCGUAACUAUAACGGUCCUAAGGUAGCGAAAUUCCUUGUCGGGUAAGUUCCGACCUGCACGAAUGGCGUAACGAUGGCGGCGCUGUCUCCACCCGAGACUCAGUGAAAUUGAAAUCGCUGUGAAGAUGCAGUGUAUCCGCGGCUAGACGGAAAGACCCCGUGAACCUUUACUAUAGCUUUGCACUGGACUUUGAAUUUGCUUGUGUAGGAUAGGUGGGAGGCUUUGAAGCGUGGACGCCAGUCUGCGUGGAGCCAACCUUGAAAUACCACCCUGGCAACUUUGAGGUUCUAACUCAGGUCCGUUAUCCGGAUCGAGGACAGUGUAUGGUGGGUAGUUUGACUGGGGCGGUCUCCUCCUAAAGAGUAACGGAGGAGUACGAAGGUGCGCUCAGACCGGUCGGAAAUCGGUCGUAGAGUAUAAAGGCAAAAGCGCGCUUGACUGCGAGACAGACACGUCGAGCAGGUACGAAAGUAGGUCUUAGUGAUCCGGUGGUUCUGUAUGGAAGGGCCAUCGCUCAACGGAUAAAAGGUACUCCGGGGAUAACAGGCUGAUACCGCCCAAGAGUUCAUAUCGACGGCGGUGUUUGGCACCUCGAUGUCGGCUCAUCACAUCCUGGGGCUGAAGCCGGUCCCAAGGGUAUGGCUGUUCGCCAUUUAAAGUGGUACGCGAGCUGGGUUUAGAACGUCGUGAGACAGUUCGGUCCCUAUCUGCCGUGGACGUUUGAGAUUUGAGAGGGGCUGCUCCUAGUACGAGAGGACCGGAGUGGACGAACCUCUGGUGUUCCGGUUGUCACGCCAGUGGCAUUGCCGGGUAGCUAUGUUCGGAAAAGAUAACCGCUGAAAGCAUCUAAGCGGGAAACUUGCCUCAAGAUGAGAUCUCACUGGAACCUUAAGUUCCCUAAAGGGCCGUCGAAGACUACGACGUUGAUAGGUUGGGUGUGUAAGCGCUGUGAGGCGUUGAGCUAACCAAUACUAAUUGCCCGUGAGGCUUGACCAUAUAACACCCAAGCAAUU
This 2918-nucleotide ribosomal RNA is filed under the name Pseudomonas syringae. RNAcentral describes it as "23S ribosomal RNA". It matches the Rfam family "Bacterial large subunit ribosomal RNA". The record is from RNAcentral. Lineage: Bacteria; Pseudomonadati; Pseudomonadota; Gammaproteobacteria; Pseudomonadales; Pseudomonadaceae.